CAACGAUGAAGAGUUUGAUCCUGGCUCAGGAUGAACGCUAGCGGCAGGCCUAACACAUGCAAGUCGAGGGGCAGCGGGGAAAAGCUUGCUUUUCCGCCGGCGACCGGCGCACGGGUGCGCAACGCGUAUACAAUCUGCCCCCUACUGCGGGAUAGCCCAGAGAAAUUUGGAUUAAGACCGCAUGGUACCGUAUUGCCGCAUGGUAUUUACGGUUAAAGGUUACGGUAGGGGAUGGGUAUGCGUCCCAUUAGCUGGAUGGCGGGGUAACGGCCCACCAUGGCGACGAUGGGUAGGGGCCCUGAGAGGGGGAUCCCCCACACUGGUACUGAGACACGGACCAGACUCCUACGGGAGGCAGCAGUGAGGAAUAUUGGACAAUGGGCGGGAGCCUGAUCCAGCCAUGCCGCGUGCAGGAUGACGGCCCUAUGGGUUGUAAACUGCUUUUAUACGGGAAGAAACGCGCCCACGUGUGGGCGUCUGACGGUACCGUAAGAAUAAGGACCGGCUAACUCCGUGCCAGCAGCCGCGGUAAUACGGAGGGUCCGAGCGUUAUCCGGAAUCAUUGGGUUUAAAGGGUCCGUAGGCGGGCCUGUAAGUCAGGGGUGAAAGUUUGUGGCUCAACCAUAAAAUUGCCUUUGAUACUGCAGGUCUUGAGUCAUGGUGGGGUCGCCGGAACAUGUGGUGUAGCGGUGAAAUGCAUAGAUAUCACAUAGAACACCGAUCGCGAAGGCAGGUGGCCAACCAUGUACUGACGCUGAUGGACGAAAGCGUGGGUAGCGAACGGGAUUAGAUACCCCGGUAGUCCACGCCGUAAACGAUGGAUACUAGCUGUGGGGACUUCGGUCUCCGUGGCCAAGCGAAAGUGAUAAGUAUCCCACCUGGGGAGUACGUUCGCAAGAAUGAAACUCAAAGGAAUUGACGGGGGCCCGCACAAGCGGUGGAGCAUGUGGUUUAAUUCGAUGAUACGCG
Molecule: ribosomal RNA, 969 nt
Filed under: Pseudozobellia sp.
Lineage: Bacteria; Pseudomonadati; Bacteroidota; Flavobacteriia; Flavobacteriales; Flavobacteriaceae
Description: bacterial SSU rRNA
Rfam family: Bacterial small subunit ribosomal RNA
Source: RNAcentral